ACCUUGUCCCGGAUACAACGUGAGAAACCACAAUCAAAAAACAAACGACCUUAACUCUCGUCCUGCUCAUUGCAUAGUACACAAACAGGAGAAACAUUUGGAGACCCCAACUUUCUCAAACGAUCCUUAGUUGUCAAUUUUUGCCAAAUAAACAUUCAAAGUAUGGAAGCAUACCUUGACAGAGGUAUCCCAUGCCGCGUACCAGUCUGUACCAGGGCACAGUAAUUCCAGGAAAGAACUAG
RNAcentral lists this long non-coding RNA (242 nucleotides) under Coffea arabica (coffee). Its description in RNAcentral is "long non-coding RNA (CARA_LNC002890)". Lineage: Eukaryota; Viridiplantae; Streptophyta; Magnoliopsida; Gentianales; Rubiaceae. The record is from RNAcentral.